This 447-nucleotide ribosomal RNA is filed under the name uncultured bacterium. Its description in RNAcentral is "bacterial SSU rRNA". It matches the Rfam family "Bacterial small subunit ribosomal RNA", at positions 355 to 825 of the family's 1533-position model. The record is from RNAcentral.
UGGGGAAUUUUGGACAAUGGGCGCAAGCCUGAUCCAGCCAUGCCGCGUGAGUGAUGAAGGCCUUAGGGUUGUAAAGCUCUUUUGCCGGGGACGAUAAUGACGGUACCCGGAGAAUAAGUCCCGGCUAACUUCGUGCCAGCAGCCGCGGUAAUACGAAGGGGACUAGCGUUGUUCGGAUUUACUGGGCGUAAAGGGCGCGUAGGCGGCAAUUCAAGUCAUCUGUGAAAUCUCCGGGCUUAACUCGGAACGGUCAGAUGAUACUGCUUUGCUAGAGUGCAGAAGGGGCAAUCGGAAUUCUUGGUGUAGCGGUGAAAUGCGUAGAUAUUGGGAAGAACACCAGUGGCGAAGGCGGCUAACUGGUCCGGUACUGACGCUGAGGUGCGAAAGCGUGGGGAGCAAACAGGAUUAGAUACCCAUGUAGUCCCUGAGCGGGCUGGCAAGGCGCAU